UACGAAGGGGGCUAGCGUUGUUCGGAUUUAUUGGGCGUAAAGAGCUCGUAGGCGGCUUGUCGCGUCGUCCGUGAAAACUUGGGGCUCAACCCCAAGCUUGCGGUCGAUACGGGCAGGCUCGAGUUCGGUAGGGGAGACUGGAAUUCCUGGUGUAGCGGUGAAAUGCGCAGAUAUCAGGAGGAACACCGGUGGCGAAGGCGGGUCUCUGGGCCGUAACUGACGCUGAGGAGCGAAAGCAUGGGGAGCGAACAGG
This 253-nucleotide ribosomal RNA is filed under the name uncultured bacterium. RNAcentral describes it as "partial 16S ribosomal RNA". It matches the Rfam family "Bacterial small subunit ribosomal RNA", at positions 524 to 776 of the family's 1533-position model. The record is from RNAcentral.